RNAcentral lists this unclassified non-coding RNA (395 nucleotides) under Hevea brasiliensis (rubber tree). Lineage: Eukaryota; Viridiplantae; Streptophyta; Magnoliopsida; Malpighiales; Euphorbiaceae. The record is from RNAcentral.
CGGCAACCAUCGGUGAUGAUCCUGAUGUAAGUCCGAGAUCUAGAUCCUCCGACACCUCAUCUACAAUUUUUCUCUUAGAUCGGAAGUUGGAGCUUUGCGAUCUAAACAGAUCAACGUCGUUUGCUUCGGAAUCAAAUUCCGGCGAAGCAGUAACACCUGAAAACUCCGGCAACGGCCGUAACACGCCUCCUUUAAGCACUGUUUCUACCGCCGACUGGCACACGUGCCAGUUACCCGUCCACAGUAAUCCUACUGCUCCGUGCACCGGGUUUACCGUCCUUCCGCACGCUUCGAACAACAACGACUGAAAUAAAGCUGCAGGUAUGUGAAAAUUACUGUCAAGCACGUGAAAAUUAUUUUUAAUUUUUAAGGAUGGCGAUGAGAUUUGAUUUGAG